RNAcentral lists this ribosomal RNA (292 nucleotides) under uncultured bacterium. RNAcentral describes it as "partial 16S ribosomal RNA". It matches the Rfam family "Bacterial small subunit ribosomal RNA", at positions 505 to 796 of the family's 1533-position model. The record is from RNAcentral.
GUGUCAGCCGCCGCGGUAAUACGAAGGGUGCAAGCGUUACUCGGAAUUACUGGGCGUAAAGCGUGCGUAGGUGGUGGUUUAAGUCUGUCGUGAAAGCCCUGGGCUCAACCUGGGAAUUGCGAUGGAUACUGGAUCACUAGAGUGUGGUAGAGGGAUGCGGAAUUUCCGGUGUAGCAGUGAAAUGCGUAGAGAUCGGAAGGAACAUCUGUGGCGAAGGCGGCAUCCUGGGCCAACACUGACACUGAGGCACGAAAGCGUGGGGAGCAAACAGGAUUAGAUACCCCCGUAGUCC